GGAGUAGGAUGCGUAUCAAGAUAGAAUCUAUCGAUCUUGAUAGAAAGGAGUAGUCCUAUAAGAUUUGAGAAGCUAAGUCCGAGAGUUUGUAGCCACAGUGGUGUGAUUGAUGGAAAAAAAAUUUUAUAAAGAUCACAAUUAGACUUGAGCUGAUCAAAUAUAUCAUAUGACUAAUGAUGAGGUUUGACGAUUUAUCCAUGAUCUGCCAUCU
Molecule: long non-coding RNA, 211 nt
Filed under: Elaeis guineensis (African oil palm)
Lineage: Eukaryota; Viridiplantae; Streptophyta; Magnoliopsida; Arecales; Arecaceae
Description: long non-coding RNA (EGUI_LNC020307)
Source: RNAcentral